Molecule: non-coding RNA, 114 nt
Organism: Acanthosepion pharaonis
Lineage: Eukaryota; Metazoa; Mollusca; Cephalopoda; Sepiida; Sepiidae
Source: the annotation of a GenBank genome assembly
UUACGGCCAUUUCACGUCGAAACGUCGGUUCUCAUACAAUUACCGAAGUUAAGCAACGUCGAGCCUGGCCAGUACCCACAUGAGUGACCUCUUUGAAAUACCAGGUGCCGUAAG